This 578-nucleotide ribosomal RNA is filed under the name uncultured bacterium. RNAcentral describes it as "partial 16S ribosomal RNA". It matches the Rfam family "Bacterial small subunit ribosomal RNA", at positions 355 to 926 of the family's 1533-position model. The record is from RNAcentral.
UGGGGAAUUUUGGACAAUGGGCGAAAGCCUGAUCCAGCAAUGCCGCGUGUGUGAAGAAGGCCUUCGGGUUGUAAAGCACUUUUGUCCGGAAAGAAAUCCUUGGCUCUAAUACAGUCGGGGGAUGACGGUACCGGAAGAAUAAGCACCGGCUAACUACGUGCCAGCAGCCGCGGUAAUACGUAGGGUGCAAGCGUUAAUCGGAAUUACUGGGCGUAAAGCGUGCGCAGGCGGUUUGCUAAGACCGAUGUGAAAUCCCCGGGCUCAACCUGGGAACUGCAUUGGUGACUGGCAGGCUAGAGUAUGGCAGAGGGGGGUAGAAUUCCACGUGUAGCAGUGAAAUGCGUAGAGAUGUGGAGGAAUACCGAUGGCGAAGGCAGCCCCCUGGGCCAAUACUGACGCUCAUGCACGAAAGCGUGGGGAGCAAACAGGAUUAGAUACCCUGGUAGUCCACGCCCUAAACGAUGUCAACUAGUUGUUGGGGAUUCAUUUCCUUAGUAACGUAGCUAACGCGUGAAGUUGACCGCCUGGGGAGUACGGUCGCAAGAUUAAAACUCAAAUGAAUUGACGGGGUCAUAACU